RNAcentral lists this long non-coding RNA (1110 nucleotides) under Mus musculus (house mouse). RNAcentral describes it as "long non-coding RNA chr13:55699909-55701019". The record is from RNAcentral. Lineage: Eukaryota; Metazoa; Chordata; Mammalia; Rodentia; Muridae.
GUUCUAAGUGGACUCCUCCCAUGCUAAGCAGCUGCCCAAGUUAACUUUUAUUUGUGAGUAAUCCAUUGUGAGGCAUUGUAACUGAAGGGGCAGAACAGCAACUAGUGAGCAGAUCAGAGGGAUGGCUGUGUGAGUUUAGAACUCUGAAAUAAGACGCAGCUGUCUGGAUGCUUUGGAACUUAAAACACAGCUUCUUAUUUAUUGAUUCGCAUGACAUUAGUUGAUCAUUAAUACUAAAGCGUUGUUUAGUAUCUGCCUUGCAGAGAUUAUAGUUACAGGAUGUGUGUUUUUCAAUUGCCUAAGAGUAUAGGCAGCGCCGGGCGUGGUAGCGCACGCCUUUAAUCCCAGCACUUGGGAGGCAGAGGCAGGCGGAUUUCUGAGUUCGAGGCCAGCCUGGUCCUACAAAGUGAGUUCCAGGACAGCCAGGGCUACACAGAGAAACCCUGUCUCAAAAACAAAAACAAAAACAAAAACAAAGAGUAUAGGCAGCAAACACUACAAACAACUCAGACUUAAAACCCACACAUUAUAGUUAAUAUAUGGGAAAGAGAACCCUUGAAAGUCUGCAUGUAACUAUAAUCAUUCUGUUUUGUCUUUCAUAUACUUAGUGAGUUUCAAAGUAUUAUAUUUAAAAACAUUUAUUACUAUUGUUCAUUUAUUUGGAAUUUUUUUAGUUUUUCGGAGUAAUUGUUAUUACACUGCGUUAGUACAUAACUGCAUUUUCAGGUUUAUAUCUACCAAAGGACACAAAUUGAGUGGUUGACUGCACAACUGAUCUAAGCAGAAAGCAGUUUCCUGGCUAUCGAGACCCAAAUACCGAUAAAUGCAACUCAUUAUUCAUGAAACCUGUAAAAUGAGUGCUGGUUAGCAUAAAAAUGUCAUCAUGGCCUCUUCUGAAAGAAGUCUCCCUAGUGUUAAUACACAUUUUAUUUAUUCUGAGUUCUAAGUAAAAUAUUAUGAACUUUGAAGUUGAGAAGCUUUCCCUGGGCCAGGUGUGGUGGUCCAUGAAUUUGAUCUCAGCAUUUGGGAGGCUGAGGCAGGCAGAUCUCUGAGUUUGAAGUCUAUAUAGUGCCAGGACAGCCAAUGCUAGGUAGAGAGAGACCCUGUCUU